RNAcentral lists this ribosomal RNA (294 nucleotides) under uncultured bacterium. Its description in RNAcentral is "partial 16S ribosomal RNA". It matches the Rfam family "Bacterial small subunit ribosomal RNA", at positions 28 to 296 of the family's 1533-position model. The record is from RNAcentral.
GACGAACGCUGGCGGCGUGCCUAACACAUGCAAGUCGAACGAAGCGCUGCGGAAAGAGACUUCGGUCAAUGGAAGCUUUUGACUUAGUGGCGGACGGGUGAGUAACGCGUGAGGAACCUGUCCUUUCAGGUGGGGGACAACAGUUAGGAAACGACUGCUAAUACCGCAUAAUGUUGGUUUGGGGCAUCCCGUGGAACAACCAAAGUAUUUAUUGCUAGAAAGAUCGGCCUCGCGUCUGAUUAGAUAGUUGGUGGGGUAACGCCUACCAAGUCGACGAUCAGUAGCCGGACUGAG